UCUUCCUUUUUCCUUCCAUUUUUCCCAGCAUCGUGAUCUUUUCCAAGCUUUCCUGUCUUCUCAUUAUGUGGCCAAAAUACUUCAACUUGGCUUCUAAUAUCCUUCCCUCCAGUGAGCAGCCGGGCAUUAUUUCUUGGAGGAUGGACUAGUUGGAUCUUCUUGCGGUCCAAGGCACUCUCAGGAUUUUCCUCCAACACCACAGUUCAAAAGCGUCUAUCUUCCUGAGCUCAGACUUCCUUAUGGUUCAGCUCUCGCGUCCAUAGGUUACUACGGGGAAUACCAUUGCUUUAACUAUGUGGAACUUCGUUGCCAGUGUGAUGACUCUUCACAGUUUUAUUGAGGUUGGUUAUUGCUCUCCUCCCAAGAGCACAAAACUUGGAAAUAAAAUUUCGGGACACGAAAAACUGUUACCAUCUGAUGAUGUGGACUAUUACUAACAAAAGUCGAAAAUAAACACUGAAGAGAAAAAGAGGGUAGUUCAUCAAGGAUUCUACAUUCUACAUUGAUGAGAACUGCCAAUAUUUGUUAAUCUAGUUUAGCAUCCUCCAUUAUAAUACAACAUUAAUCCAUUUUUUUUCAACAGACAGGUUUUAAAUGUAGUAGGAACUUUAAGUAAUAUUAUCUGCAUAAUCUUGCAUAUAUAAAUUCAAGUAGGCUUAAUGAAAUCAACCAAGGAUAUACAUUUGUAAAUGUUUAAUCAUCAUUCCUUAACUGAAAACAGUAUUGGACAAAUUUGAAAGAAAAAUAAUGGGUCUCAAGCGCUUACUAGUGUACUUAAAAAUAUAUUGAUUUCAAUAUGACAGCUAUUUAACUAAUUCUAGACUGGACUUGAUGGGUUUAAAUGGCAAAUAAAUCUGUUUGGAAAUUUACAAACAAUUUCAUUCAACUACUUACCUGCAAGCAGAUUAAAGUUAUCUGGCUUUAACUAUGAAUAUAUUACACUUUAUUGCAAAUAUAGCUUGCCAGUUUAACUGGAAAGUCUAAAUAUUACACAAAGGACAACUCUCACAGUCCUCUUUUAAACAGGACUUCCUUUACAAAAACAAAUAUCAAAGUAACUGUAGACUGCCUUCUUCAAAAAUAGAAAUGCUAGGGUCUGAUUCACACUUUAGCUCCAUACACAGAAAUUGUUUUCCAAUACACAAAAGACUUGAAUGUAUACAGAAUAGUGAUAAACGAGUUACUUUUGUUCAUAAAGAAAGUUUUUCCACAAAGUGGAGGCAUAAUUCUGCAUCAACCACUUGUAAAAUAUAUAUGGAGCCAAUUUUAGAAGUAGACAUUAAAUGGAACAUGAAGUGCAAACUCUACUGAAAACAAUGAGUCACAUCUGAACAAACAUGAAGAGGGUACUUUCUCAAAAAUCACUGUUACAUAUUAACUUACACUACAUGUAUUAUUUCUAGAAUCUUUAUUCUAUGUGUUUCAGCACAAAUAGCUAUUCAAAAGAAAAGUGGAUUGGACAAAAAUCUGAAAGCAUAUGAUUAAGUCUUGCUAAUGAAAUUAUGCAGGUUUAGCCCUAAAAUGCUAUCUGGAUGGAAGGUUACCCAAAUGUUACUUAUGAGCUGCUCUGUCCUUUUUAGAAGUAUAAUAAAUAAUAAAUAACUUGUUGCAGAACAAUAAAGAUUUUUCAAGA
Anolis carolinensis (green anole) is the source of this 1633-nucleotide long non-coding RNA. RefSeq lists it as uncharacterized. The transcript is spliced from 2 exons. The record is from RefSeq and is a predicted model, not a curated record. NCBI's taxonomy places the organism in Eukaryota, Metazoa, Chordata, Lepidosauria, Squamata, Anolidae.